Molecule: ribosomal RNA, 1272 nt
Filed under: metagenome
Description: SSU rRNA
Rfam family: Eukaryotic small subunit ribosomal RNA
Source: RNAcentral
AAUGCGGGACUCUAAGAGGCCCCGUAAUUGGAAUGAGUACACCUUAAAUCGUUUAACGAGUAUCAAUUGGAGGGCAAGUCUGGUGCCAGCAGCCGCGGUAAUUCCAGCUCCAAUAGCGUAUAUUAAAGUUGCUGCAGUUAAAAAGCUCGUAGUUGGAUCUGGGGCUUGAGGUCGCUGUCUAUCGUUUCGGCGAUGACGGUGAUGCUCAGCUCUGCUUGCCGGUGACUGUUACGGUGUUCUUCACUGAGCGCUGUAGCAGCACGGCACGUUUACUUUGAAAAAAUUAGAGUGCUCAAAGCGUGCUUGUCGCUUGAAUAAUGUUGCAUGGAAUAAUGGAAUAGGACCUCGGUUCUAUUUUGUUGGUUUUCGGAGCUUGAGGUAAUGAUUAAGAGGGACGAACGGGGGCAUUCGUAUUGCGGUGUUAGAGGUGAAAUUCUUGGAUCGCCGCAAGACGGACUACUGCGAAAGCAUUUGCCAAGAACGCUUUCAUUAAUUAAGAACGAAAGUCAGAGGUUCGAAGACGAUCAGACACCGUCCUAGUCCUGACCAUAAACGAUGCCGACCAGCGAUCCGUAGUGGUUGCUUUAUGGACCCUACGGGCAGCCUCCGGGAAACCAAAGCAUUUGGGUUCCGGGGGAAGUAUGGUUGCAAAGCUGAAACUUAAAGGAAUUGACGGAAGGGCACACCAGGAGUGGAGCCUGCGGCUUAAUUUGACCCAACACGGGAAAACUCACCCGGUCCGGACACCGUAAGGAUUGACAGACUGAUAGCUCUUUCUUGAUUCGGUGGAUGGAGGUGCAUGGCCGUUCUUAGUUGGUGGAGUGAUUUGUCUGGUUAAUUCCGAUAACGAACGAGACUCUAGCCUGCUAAGUAGUGUUGCUAUUGUUAUAUGGUUGACACUUCUUAGAGGGACAAGUGGCAUUUAGCCACGCGAAAUUGAGCAAUAACAGGUCUGUGAUGCCCUUAGAUGUCCGGGGCCGCACGCGCGCUACACUGGAGAAGUCAGCGUGUGUUAUCCAAGUCCGAAAGGACUGGGUAAUCCGUUGAACCUUCUUCGUGCUUGGGACUGUGGCUUGGAACUAUUCCACAUGAACGAGGAAUUCCUAGUAAUUGCAAGUCAUAAGCUUGCGUUGAUUACGUCCCUGCCCUUUGUACACACCGCCCGUCGCUACUACCGAUUGAAUGGUUUAGCAAGGUCCUCGGAUCGUGGCCGUAGGGGCACGCAAGUGUUUCUGCGGUUUGCGAGAAGACGACCAAACUUGAUCAUUUAGA